AGCGGUUCUCGGGUGACACACCCUGGAACCAGAGAGGAGGGAGCCCAAUUCCAGGGUGCAUCACCCGAGAACCGCC
Non-coding RNA from Myotis brandtii (Brandt's bat), 76 nucleotides. The record is from Rfam. NCBI's taxonomy places the organism in Eukaryota, Metazoa, Chordata, Mammalia, Chiroptera, Vespertilionidae.